GGCAAAGGCAGAUGGAUCUCUGUGACAUCAAGGCCAGCUUGACCUACAUGGUCAUCUGCCCAGUGAAAUAAGAACCCAGGCCAUAUUGCUAAUAAACAGAUGUCAAGAACUGUCUCUCCACAUCUCAGGAUGUUAGUUCAGAAACAGAGAUGGACAAGAAAAUGGCUAUUUAGAGGGUAAAAGUAGCCUGAGAUAAG
Nannospalax galili (Upper Galilee mountains blind mole rat) is the source of this 197-nucleotide long non-coding RNA. RefSeq lists it as uncharacterized. The transcript is spliced from 3 exons. NCBI's taxonomy places the organism in Eukaryota, Metazoa, Chordata, Mammalia, Rodentia, Spalacidae. The record is from RefSeq and is a predicted model, not a curated record.